CCUCCUUUCUAAGGAUGCCGGUGUUUGAAAUUUCACUUUCAAAUUCUGGCGUACUUACAAAUACUACAAUCAAACGGCCUCACGUCGCCGUCUUCGUAUCCCUUCCAUCGCGAAUGCCGAAUACGGGAGAUGGUGUCCGCUCCCCAACAACUGGUGUCAGCCGAAUAUGGGCCUGUAGCUCAGCUUGGUUAGAGCGCACGCCUGAUAAGCGUGAGGUCGGUAGUUCAAGUCUACCCAGGCCCACCAUCCUUUAAAGGUGGACCCUUUCGAGGUGGAUUGAGCAACAAUUCAGCCACUCCGGAAUGGGGGUGUAGCUCAGUUGGGAGAGCGCCUGCUUUGCAAGCAGGAGGUCAUCGGUUCGAUUCCGUUCACCUCCACCAUUUUGCGCUGCAAGUUAAUGAUUUAGCGGCAAUAUGGCAGGACCCCCAUUCGAACAACAUUCGCGGAAAACAAGUUUGCCGAUACACUUUCAUCGGCGGCGCACUUGAAAAAUCAAGAGCGAGCUUUUUGUCAUUGUGAAGAAAAUUGAUCCUGGAUCG
This 539-nucleotide transfer RNA is filed under the name uncultured Alphaproteobacteria bacterium. RNAcentral describes it as "partial 16S-23S ribosomal RNA intergenic spacer". The stretch from base 169 to 243 matches the Rfam family "tRNA". Lineage: Bacteria; Pseudomonadati; Pseudomonadota; Alphaproteobacteria. The record is from RNAcentral.